This 484-nucleotide ribosomal RNA is filed under the name uncultured bacterium. RNAcentral describes it as "partial 16S ribosomal RNA". It matches the Rfam family "Bacterial small subunit ribosomal RNA", at positions 30 to 507 of the family's 1533-position model. The record is from RNAcentral.
AUUGAACGCUGGCGGCAGGCCUAACACAUGCAAGUCGAGCGGAUGAAGGGAGCUUGCUCCUGGUUUCAGCGGCGGACGGGUGAGUAAUGCCUAGGAAUCUGCCUGGUAGUGGGGGAUAACGUCCGGAAACGGGCGCUAAUACCGCAUUCGUCCUGAGGGAGAAAGUGGGGGAUCUUCGGACCUCACGCUAUCAGAUGAGCCGAGGUCGGAUUAGCUAGUUGGUGGGGUAAAGGCCUACCAAGGCGACGAUCCGUAACUGGUCUGAGAGGAUGAUCAGUCACACUGGAACUGAGACACGGUCCAGACUCCUACGGGAGGCAGCAGUGGGGAAUAUUGGACAAUGGGCGAAAGCCUGAUCCAGCCAUGCCGCGUGUGUGAAGAAGGUCUUCGGAUUGUAAAGCACUUUAAGUUGGGAGGAAGGGCAGUAAGUUAAUACCUUGCUGUUUUGACGUUACCAACAGAAUAAGCACCGGCUAACUUCGUG